Molecule: long non-coding RNA, 251 nt
Filed under: Hordeum vulgare
Lineage: Eukaryota; Viridiplantae; Streptophyta; Magnoliopsida; Poales; Poaceae
Description: long non-coding RNA (HVUL_LNC015868)
Source: RNAcentral
UAUCAUAGAGCUACUCAGAUUGCAUUAGUUUAUUAAUUGUGACGUACAAGAGCAUAAAGCAACAAGGGGUUGUACGCGCUUAAAGUGUGGUUACUACUUCCAUUUUCUUACAACUGUCCCAAUUGUUGCAGUAAUUUGACGAUCCUUUAUGUGACGUUUAAUUUAUUUUAUAUGUCCACGUAGGGAAAUUGAUUGAGAUAAACCGUUGUGUUGUGAGGUGUGAUGGAAUCGUUGUGAUGAAUUUAAUAGAU